RNAcentral lists this ribosomal RNA (1554 nucleotides) under Klebsiella pneumoniae. RNAcentral describes it as "bacterial SSU rRNA". It matches the Rfam family "Bacterial small subunit ribosomal RNA". Lineage: Bacteria; Pseudomonadati; Pseudomonadota; Gammaproteobacteria; Enterobacterales; Enterobacteriaceae. The record is from RNAcentral.
ACUUAAAUUGAAGAGUUUGAUCAUGGCUCAGAUUGAACGCUGGCGGCAGGCCUAACACAUGCAAGUCGAGCGGUAGCACAGAGAGCUUGCUCUCGGGUGACGAGCGGCGGACGGGUGAGUAAUGUCUGGGAAACUGCCUGAUGGAGGGGGAUAACUACUGGAAACGGUAGCUAAUACCGCAUAAUGUCGCAAGACCAAAGUGGGGGACCUUCGGGCCUCAUGCCAUCAGAUGUGCCCAGAUGGGAUUAGCUAGUAGGUGGGGUAAUGGCUCACCUAGGCGACGAUCCCUAGCUGGUCUGAGAGGAUGACCAGCCACACUGGAACUGAGACACGGUCCAGACUCCUACGGGAGGCAGCAGUGGGGAAUAUUGCACAAUGGGCGCAAGCCUGAUGCAGCCAUGCCGCGUGUGUGAAGAAGGCCUUCGGGUUGUAAAGCACUUUCAGCGGGGAGGAAGGCGGUGAGGUUAAUAACCUCAUCGAUUGACGUUACCCGCAGAAGAAGCACCGGCUAACUCCGUGCCAGCAGCCGCGGUAAUACGGAGGGUGCAAGCGUUAAUCGGAAUUACUGGGCGUAAAGCGCACGCAGGCGGUCUGUCAAGUCGGAUGUGAAAUCCCCGGGCUCAACCUGGGAACUGCAUUCGAAACUGGCAGGCUAGAGUCUUGUAGAGGGGGGUAGAAUUCCAGGUGUAGCGGUGAAAUGCGUAGAGAUCUGGAGGAAUACCGGUGGCGAAGGCGGCCCCCUGGACAAAGACUGACGCUCAGGUGCGAAAGCGUGGGGAGCAAACAGGAUUAGAUACCCUGGUAGUCCACGCCGUAAACGAUGUCGAUUUGGAGGUUGUGCCCUUGAGGCGUGGCUUCCGGAGCUAACGCGUUAAAUCGACCGCCUGGGGAGUACGGCCGCAAGGUUAAAACUCAAAUGAAUUGACGGGGGCCCGCACAAGCGGUGGAGCAUGUGGUUUAAUUCGAUGCAACGCGAAGAACCUUACCUGGUCUUGACAUCCACAGAACUUUCCAGAGAUGGAUUGGUGCCUUCGGGAACUGUGAGACAGGUGCUGCAUGGCUGUCGUCAGCUCGUGUUGUGAAAUGUUGGGUUAAGUCCCGCAACGAGCGCAACCCUUAUCCUUUGUUGCCAGCGGUCCGGCCGGGAACUCAAAGGAGACUGCCAGUGAUAAACUGGAGGAAGGUGGGGAUGACGUCAAGUCAUCAUGGCCCUUACGACCAGGGCUACACACGUGCUACAAUGGCAUAUACAAAGAGAAGCGACCUCGCGAGAGCAAGCGGACCUCAUAAAGUAUGUCGUAGUCCGGAUUGGAGUCUGCAACUCGACUCCAUGAAGUCGGAAUCGCUAGUAAUCGUAGAUCAGAAUGCUACGGUGAAUACGUUCCCGGGCCUUGUACACACCGCCCGUCACACCAUGGGAGUGGGUUGCAAAAGAAGUAGGUAGCUUAACCUUCGGGAGGGCGCUUACCACUUUGUGAUUCAUGACUGGGGUGAAGUCGUAACAAGGUAACCGUAGGGGAACCUGCGGUUGGAUCACCUCCUUACCUUAAAGAA